This 440-nucleotide ribosomal RNA is filed under the name uncultured bacterium. RNAcentral describes it as "partial 16S ribosomal RNA". It matches the Rfam family "Bacterial small subunit ribosomal RNA", at positions 338 to 795 of the family's 1533-position model. The record is from RNAcentral.
CCUACGGGAGGCAGCAGUGGGGAAUAUUGGACAAUGGGGGAAACCCUGAUCCAGCGACGCCGCGUGAGUGAAGAAGUAUUUCGGUACGUAAAGCUCUAUCAGCAGGAAAGAAAAUGACGGUACCUGACUACGACGCCCCGGCUAACUACGUGCCAGCCGCCGCGGUAAUACGUAGGGGGCAAGCGUUAUCCGGAUUUACUGGGUGGAAAGGGAGCGUAGACGGCAGCGCAAGUCUGGAGUGAAAUGCCGGGGCCCAACCCCGGAACUGCUCUGGAAACUGUGAAGCUGGAGUGCAGGAGAGGUAAGCGGAAUUCCUGGUGUAGCGGUGAAAUGCGUAGAUAUCAGGAGGAACACCGGCGGCGAAGGCGGCUUACUGGACUGUAACUGACGUUGAGGCUCGAAGGCGUGGGGAGCAAACAGGAUUAGAUACCCGAGUAGUC